GAUGAACGCUGGCGGCGUGCCUAACACAUGCAAGUCGAACGGAGUCGUUUUGGAAAUCUCUUCGGAGAUGGAAUUCUCGACUUAGUGGCGGACGGGUGAGUAACGCGUGAGCAAUCUGCCUUUAAGAGGGGGAUAACAGUCGGAAACGGCUGCUAAUACCGCAUAAAGCAUUAAAUUCGCAUGUUUUUGAUGCCAAAGGAGCAAUCCGCUUUUAGAUGAGCUCGCGUCUGAUUAGCUAGUUGGCGGGGUAACGGCCCACCAAGGCGACGAUCAGUAGCCGGACUGAGAGGUUGAACGGCCACAUUGGGACUGAGACACGGCCCAGACUCCUACGGGAGGCAGCAGUGGGUAAUAUUGCGCAAUGGGGGAAACCCUGACGCAGCAACGCCGCGUGAUUGAAGAAGGCCUUCGGGUUGUAAAGAUCUUUAAUCAGGGACGAAACAAAUGACGGUACCUGAAGAAUAAGCUCCGGCUAACUACGUG
This 483-nucleotide ribosomal RNA is filed under the name uncultured bacterium. RNAcentral describes it as "partial 16S ribosomal RNA". It matches the Rfam family "Bacterial small subunit ribosomal RNA", at positions 28 to 507 of the family's 1533-position model. The record is from RNAcentral.